RNAcentral lists this ribosomal RNA (529 nucleotides) under uncultured microorganism. RNAcentral's name for it is "bacterial SSU rRNA". It matches the Rfam family "Bacterial small subunit ribosomal RNA", at positions 9 to 520 of the family's 1533-position model. The record is from RNAcentral.
GAGUUUGAUCGUGGCUCAGGAUGAACGCUGGCGGCGUGCCUAAUACAUGCAAGUCGAACGAACAGAUAAGGAGCUUGCUCCUUUGACGUUAGCGGCGGACGGGUGAGUAACACGUGGGUAACCUACCUAUAAGACUGGGAAUAACUCCGGGAAACCGGGGCUAAUGCCGGAUAACAUGUUGAACCGCAUGGUUCUACAGUGAAAGACGGUCUUGCUGUCACUUAUAGAUGGACCCGCGCCGUAUUAGCUAGUUGGUGGGGUAACGGCCUACCAAGGCGACGAUACGUAGCCGACCUGAGAGGGUGAUCGGCCACACUGGAACUGAGACACGGUCCAGACUCCUACGGGAGGCAGCAGUAGGGAAUCUUCCGCAAUGGGCGAAAGCCUGACGGAGCAACGCCGCGUGAGUGAUGAAGGUCUUCGGAUCGUAAAGCUCUGUUGUUAGGGAAGACAAAUGUGUAAGUAACUGUGCAUAUCUUGACGGUACCUAACCAGAAAGCCACGGCUAACUACGUGCCAGCAGCCGCCG